UACGUAGGGACCAAGCGUUGUUCGGAAUUACUGGGCGUAAAGGGCGCGUAGGCGGCCUGCUAAGUCGAACGUGAAAUCCCCGAGCUCAACUCGGGAACUGCGUCCGAUACUGGCAGGCUUGAAUCCGGGAGAGGGAUGCGGAAUUCCAGGUGUAGCGGUGAAAUGCGUAGAUAUCUGGAGGAACACCGGUGGCGAAGGCGGCAUCCUGGACCGGCAUUGACGCUGAGGCGCGAAAGCCAGGGGAGCAAACGGG
This 253-nucleotide ribosomal RNA is filed under the name uncultured bacterium. RNAcentral describes it as "partial 16S ribosomal RNA". It matches the Rfam family "Bacterial small subunit ribosomal RNA", at positions 524 to 776 of the family's 1533-position model. The record is from RNAcentral.